CACGUAGUUAGCCGUGGCUUUCUGAUUAGGUACCGUCAAGACGCGCACAGUUACUUACGCAUUUGUUCUUCCCUAAUAGCAGAGUUUUACGAUCCGAAGACCUUCACCACUCACGCGGCGUUGCUCCGUCAGGCUUUCGCCCAUUGCGGAAGAUUCCCUACUGCUGCCUCCCGUAGGAGUCUGGACCGUGUCUCAGUUCCAGUGUGGCCGAUCACCCUCUCAGGUCGGCUACGUAUCGUUGCCUUGGUGAGCCGUUACCUCACCAACUAGCUAAUACGGCGCGGGUCCAUCUAUAAGUGACAGCAAAGCCGCCUUUCACUGUAGAACCAUGCGGUUCAACAUGUUAUCCGGCAUUAGCCCCCGGUUUCCGGAGUUAUUCCAGUCUUAUAGGUAGGUUACCCACGUGUUACUCACCCGUCGCCGCUAACGUCAAGGAGCAAGCUCCUUAUCUGUUCGCUCGACUUGCAUGUAUUAGGCACGCCGCCAGCGUUCAUCCUGAGCCAGGAUA
This 508-nucleotide ribosomal RNA is filed under the name uncultured Staphylococcus sp. Its description in RNAcentral is "partial 16S ribosomal RNA". Lineage: Bacteria; Bacillati; Bacillota; Bacilli; Caryophanales; Staphylococcaceae. The record is from RNAcentral.